AACGAACGCUGGCGGCAUGCCUAACACAUGCAAGUCGAACGAUCCCUUCGGGGAUAGUGGCGCACGGGUGCGUAACGCGUGGGAACCUGCCCUUAGGUUCGGAAUAACUCAGAGAAAUUUGAGCUAAUACCGGAUAAUGUCUUCGGACCAAAGAUUUAUCGCCUUUGGAUGGGCCCGCGUUGGAUUAGCUAGUUGGUGGGGUAAAGGCCUACCAAGGCGACGAUCCAUAGCUGGUCUGAGAGGAUGAUCAGCCACACUGGGACUGAGACACGGCCCAGACUCCUGCGGGGGGCAGGAGGGGGGAAUAUUGGCGGAUGAGCGAAAGCUUGAUCCAGCAGUGGGGCGGGAGUGAGGAAGGAUUUCGGGUUGCACUGGUGUUACGGCGGGGGGGCUAAGGGCAGUACGGGGAGAAUACGCGCCGACUACAGCCGGUCGAGGUGCCGGGGUAAAGAGAAUAGCACCGUUUGAUG
RNAcentral lists this ribosomal RNA (470 nucleotides) under uncultured bacterium. RNAcentral's name for it is "partial 16S ribosomal RNA". The stretch from base 16 to 340 matches the Rfam family "Bacterial small subunit ribosomal RNA", at positions 43 to 396 of the family's 1533-position model. The record is from RNAcentral.